RNAcentral lists this ribosomal RNA (253 nucleotides) under uncultured bacterium. Its description in RNAcentral is "partial 16S ribosomal RNA". It matches the Rfam family "Bacterial small subunit ribosomal RNA", at positions 524 to 776 of the family's 1533-position model. The record is from RNAcentral.
UACAGAGGUCCCAAGCGUUAUUCGGAAUUAUUGGGCGUAAAGGGCGCGUAGGCGGCCUGGCAAGUGGAAGGUGAAAUCCCUCGGCUUAACCGAGGAACUGCCCUCCAAACUGCUUGGCUUGAGUCCGGGAGAGGUGAGUGGAAUUCCCAGUGUAGCGGUGAAAUGCGUAGAUAUUGGGAGGAACACCAGUGGCGAAGGCGGCUCACUGGACCGGAACUGACGCUGAGGCGCGAAAGCGUGGGGAGCAAACGGG